This 347-nucleotide unclassified non-coding RNA is filed under the name soil metagenome. RNAcentral describes it as "partial contains 5.8S ribosomal RNA, internal transcribed spacer 2, and large subunit ribosomal RNA". The stretch from base 1 to 120 matches the Rfam family "5.8S ribosomal RNA", at positions 35 to 154 of the family's 154-position model. The record is from RNAcentral.
GAUGAAGAACGCAGCAAAAUGCGAUAAGUAAUGUGAAUUGCAGAAUUCAGUGAAUCAUCGAGUCUUUGAACGCACAUUGCGCCCCCUGGUAUUCCGGGGGGCAUGCCUGUCCGAGCGUCAUUGCUGCCCUCAAGCACGGCUUGUGUGUUGGGCCCCGUCCUCCGAUCCCGGGGGACGGGCCCGAAAGGCAGCGGCGGCACCGCGUCCGGUCCUCGAGCGUAUGGGGCUUUGUCACCCGCUCUGUAGGCCCGGCCGGCGCUUGCCGAUCAACCCAAAUUUUUUAUCCAGGUUGACCUCGGAUCAGGUAGGGAUACCCGCUGAACUUAAGCAUAUCAAUAAGCGGAGGA